This 312-nucleotide ribosomal RNA is filed under the name uncultured Glomus. RNAcentral's name for it is "SSU rRNA". It matches the Rfam family "Eukaryotic small subunit ribosomal RNA", at positions 570 to 886 of the family's 1831-position model. Lineage: Eukaryota; Fungi; Glomeromycota; Glomeromycetes; Glomerales; Glomeraceae. The record is from RNAcentral.
GCAGCCGCGGUAAUUCCAGCUCCAAUAGCGUAUAUUAAAGUUGUUGCAGUUAAAAAGCUCGUAGUUGAAUUUCGGGGUCAGCAGGCUGGUCGUGCCACUGGUAUGAACUGGUCUCGCUGAUUCCUCCUUUCUGAAGAACUGUAAUGUCAUUAAUUUGGUGUUGCAGGGAAACAGGACUGUUACUUUGAAAAAAUUAGAGUGUUUAAAGCAGGCAAUCGCUUGAAUACAUUAGCAUGGAAUAAUGAAAUAGGACGUUCAAACCUAUUUUGUUGGUUUCUAGGAUUGACGUAAUGAUUAAUAGGGAUAGUUGGG